UGCGGGAUCGUCUAAUGGUAGGACAGCAGAAUCUGGAUCUGCAUAUUGGGGUUCGAAUCCCUAUCCCGCAG
Molecule: transfer RNA, 71 nt
Filed under: Candidatus Woesebacteria bacterium
Lineage: Bacteria; Candidatus Woeseibacteriota
Description: tRNA-Gln
Rfam family: tRNA
About the family: Transfer RNA (tRNA) molecules are approximately 80 nucleotides in length. Their secondary structure includes four short double-helical elements and three loops (D, anti-codon, and T loops).
Source: RNAcentral